AAUCAACGCUGGCGGCGUGCCUCAGACAUGCAAGUCGAACGAUUAAAGCUCUCUUCGGAGAGUGCAUAGAGUGGCGCACGGGUGAGUAACACGUAAGUAAUCUACCUUCGAGUGGGGAAUAACGUCCGGAAACGGACGCUAAUACCGCAUAAUGCAGCGGCAUCGUAAGAUGACAGUUGUUAAAGAUUUAUCGCUUGAAGAGGAGCUUGCGGCAGAUUAGCUAGUUGGUAAGGUAAUGGCUUACCAAGGCUACGAUCUGUAACCGGUCUUAGAGGACGGUCGGUCACACUGACACUGAAUAACGGGUCAGACUCCUACGGGAGGCAGCAGUCGGGAAUUUUGGGGCAAUGGGCGAAAGCCUGACCCAGCAACGCCGCGUGAAGGAUGAAGUAUUUCGGUAUGUAAACUUCGAAAGAAUAGGAAGAAUAAAUGACGGUACUAUUAUAAGGUCCGGCUAACUACGUGCCAGCAGCCGCGGUAAU
RNAcentral lists this ribosomal RNA (482 nucleotides) under uncultured bacterium. RNAcentral's name for it is "bacterial SSU rRNA". It matches the Rfam family "Bacterial small subunit ribosomal RNA", at positions 32 to 524 of the family's 1533-position model. The record is from RNAcentral.